RNAcentral lists this ribosomal RNA (1637 nucleotides) under Candidatus Phytoplasma citri. RNAcentral's name for it is "Candidatus Phytoplasma aurantifolia contains 16S-23S intergenic spacer region". The stretch from base 1 to 1441 matches the Rfam family "Bacterial small subunit ribosomal RNA". The record is from RNAcentral. Lineage: Bacteria; Bacillati; Mycoplasmatota; Mollicutes; Acholeplasmatales; Acholeplasmataceae.
GCGAACGGGUGAGUAACACGUAAGCAACCUACCCUAAAGACGAGGAUAACCAUUGGAAACAGUGGCUAAGACUGGAUAGGAAGAAAUAAGGCAUCUUUUUUCUUUUAAAAGACCUAGUGAUAGGUAUACUUUAGGAGGGGCUUGCGCCAUAUUAGUUAGUUGGUAGGGUAAUGGCCUACCAAGACGAUGAUGUGUAGCUGGACUGAGAGGUUGAACAGCCACAUUGGGACUGAGACACGGCCCAAACUCCUACGGGAGGCAGCAGUAGGGAAUUUUCGGCAAUGGAGGAAACUCUGACCGAGCAACGCCGCGUGAACGACGAAGUACUUUGGUAUGUAAAGUUCUUUUAUCAAGGAAGAAAAGCAAGUGGUGAACCAUUUGUUUGCCGGUACUUGAUGAAUAAGCCCCGGCUAAUUAUGUGCCAGCAGCCGCGGUAAGACAUAAGGGGCAAGUGUUAUCCGGAAUUAUUGGGCGUAAAGGGUGCGUAGGCGGUCUAGUAAGUCAGUGGUGUAAUGGCAACGCUCAACGUUGUCCGGCUAUUGAAACUGCUAAACUUGAGUUAGAUAGAGGCGAGUGGAAUUCCAUGUGUAGCGGUAAAAUGCGUAAAUAUAUGGAGGAACACCAGAGGCGUAGGCGGCUCGCUGGGUCUUAACUGACGCUGAGGCACGAAAGCGUGGGGAGCAAACAGGAUUAGAUACCCUGGUAGUCCACGCCGUAAACGAUGAGUACUAAGUGUCGGGUUAAACCGGUACUGAAGUUAACACAUUAAGUACUCCGCCUGAGUAGUACGUACGCAAGUAUGAAACUUAAAGGAAUUGACGGGACUCCGCACAAGCGGUGGAUCAUGUUGUUUAAUUCGAAGAUACCCGAAAAACCUUACCAGGUCUUGACAUGUUUUUGCGAAACGGUAGUAAUAUCGUGGAGGUUAUCAGAAACACAGGUGGUGCAUGGUUGUCGUCAGCUCGUGUCGUGAGAUGUUAGGUUAAGUCCUAAAACGAGCGAAACCCUUAUCGUUAGUUGCCAGCACGUUAUGGUGGGGACUUUAACGAGACUGCCAGUGAUAAAUUGGAGGAAGGUGAGGAUCACGUCAAAUCAGCAUGCCCCUUAUGACCUGGGCUACAAACGUGAUACAAUGGCUGUUACAAAGGGUAGCUGAAACGCAAGUUCUUGGCCAAUCCCCAAAAACAGUCUCAGUCCGGAUUGAAGUCUGCAACUCGACUUCAUGAAGUUGGAAUCGCUAGUAAUCGCGAAUCAGCAUGUCGCGGUGAAUACGUUCUCGGGGUUUGUACACACCGCCCGUCAAACCACGAAAGUUGGCAAUACCCCAAAACGGUAGCCUAACUCGUUUAUCGAGAGGGCGCUGUCUAAGGUAGGGUCGAUGAUUGGGGUUAAGUCGUAACAAGGUAUCCCUACCGGAAGGUGGGGAUGGAUCACCUCCUUUCUAAGGAAACCAAUAAAAUCAAUCAUCUUCAGUUUUGAAAGACUUAGGAUAACUAAGUUUUUCUUCGUGACUUCACGAAGGGCCUAUAGCUCAGUUGGUUAGAGCACACGCCUGAUAAGCGUGAGGUCGGUGGUUCAAGUCCAUUUAGGCCCACCAGAGUUAUAGGUGUCGUAAGAACACAAAUUCUUUGAAAAUU